AUUCUUAUACACUCAUUAACUGUGUAGUAGAUUAUACAUAUAAUAUAAUCUGUAACUUGUAUGGUGGAUUAAUAAGUGAUAAGUGAUGAUGUUUAUGUUUAUACUCUAUUUAGAUGAAGACUUUCAGCAUGAAGAUUGUUGUUCUACUUGGAUUUGUGAUGCUUCUCUCUAUUGCUUUGGCUGAGCAUGAGCAUGGCCAUCAGCAUGUCAUUGAGAAGCGCUCUUCAAGUGAAGAGCGUGUCCGUGGCCCUGGCCCUGGCCGUGGCUUUCCAAACUUUCUGCAGCAGUACCAGUACCAGUACCAGUACCAGCAGUACCUUCUGCUUCUGCAAAGACUUGGUCUUGUCCCAGCCCCUGCAGCACCAGCCCCAGCUCCAGCCCCAGCUCCAGCUCCAGCCCCAGCUCCUGCCCCAGCUCCAGCCCCAGCUCCUGCCCCAGCUCCAGCCCCAGCUCCAGCUGGUCGCUGAGAAAGGACAUGAAUCAGAAACUUCAACUCAACAAGAGCAAGCUAUGGUUGAUGAAAUGACCAGAACAUUAACUGACAAUAAGUACUGUAAUAGCUGUCUUCCAUAUUUUGCUUGAGUUUCCCUUUAAUUUACCUGCUGUCUGUCUGUCUGCAAUGCAAUAAAGAGGAUUUGAAAUGGCAUAUGUCCCUUCCUGCACACUAUCUGUUGCCUGAGAAAUGUCAUUUUGUAUUCAAACAUAUGUUCACAGUUUGUGCAUUUGUCAGUCAGAGUUAGUCAAAUCUGAGGAUUUAGCAUCUUGUUUUGCCGGAUGACAUUUCUUGAUAUAUUUAGUGAGGCUAAAUUGGUUGUGAACAAUAUUUGAGUUAUGUUUUAAACAAUUAAACAUGUUUUAAAUUGUAUUCACAUUAUGAGUAAAGUAGGUUACAGGAAGUCAGGUAGCCAAAUUCAAUGGUCAAACAUUUAAAUAUUUCAGUGGUUAAAAUCAUUGAAAGCCUUGACAUAAUACAGUAUAAUUUUACAUACAUUUAAUCAUUCAACUUAUUCCCACUCCACUGCUUAUUUUACCAGGCUGCUUACGAUGAGGAAGUAAAUGAGUCACUGGGUUACAGUUACUGUACCUGGAUACAGUACAGUAUCCAGGUAAAGUAACUGAUACAGUACAGUACAUAUUCUACCCACCACUGCGACCUGUAUGCUUUCGUUGGCUGGCCCUCGCUUCAUAUUCGUCGCCAAACCCACUGGCUCCAAGUCAUCUAUAAGUCUCUGCUAGGUACUCACUUAUCACCAUAGCAGCACACACCCGUAGCACGCGCUCCAGCAGGUAUAUUUCACUGGUCACCCCCAAAGCCAAUUCCUCCUUUGGCCGCCUUUCCUUCCAGUUCUCUGCUGCCAAUGACUGGGACAAAUUGCAAAAAUCACUGAAGCUGGAGACUCAUAUCUCCCUCUCUAACUUUAAGCACCAGCUGUCAGAGCAGCUCACAGAUCACUGCACCUGUACACCGUCCAUCUGUAAAUUGCCCAUCCAACUACCUCAUCCCCAUACUGUUAUAUAUUGUUUUGCUCCUUUGCACCAUCGUACUUCUACUUGCACAUUCAUCUUCUGCACAUCUAUCACUCCAAUGUUUAUUGCUAAAUUGUAACUAUUUUACCUCUGUAUAUAGACUUUUCUAUUGUGUUAUUGAUUGUAUGUUUGUUUAUUCCAUGUGUAACCCUGUGUUGUUGUUUGUGUUGCACUGUUUUGCUUAAUCUUGGCCACGUCACAGUUGUAAAUGAGAACUUAUUCUCAACUGGCCUACUUGGA
Oncorhynchus tshawytscha (Chinook salmon) is the source of this 1767-nucleotide long non-coding RNA. Lineage: Eukaryota; Metazoa; Chordata; Actinopteri; Salmoniformes; Salmonidae. The record is from Ensembl.